GACCAAAUACCACAUACGAACAAAUCAUCAUUCAAGAGGUUUUUUUUCCACAUCAAGUUUUCAAAACCAUUUCCAUGGAGAUGACAAAUUGGUACUUUUAGCACCACAAUGUGUUAAUAAUGCGCGAAAAGUGUAAAUUUGGACAUCUCCUCUGCGAGCAAAGGCAAUUUUGCCAUACUGAGAUUCCGCUGUCGUCUCGUACGCCAUUGCAAUCGGUAACUAUGGACGAUUGUAAUCAUGAUUUAGCUGAAAACGCGGCUGCCAUGGCUAAAGACCACUUUAAUUUACUUCAUUCAAGCACUCUGGACGUGAAUGAUGGUUCUGAUCAUAAAGGAAAAGAAAUCGAAGACGAAGCAUCUAUAAUAGCUGAGGAUUGCGAAGACGAAGAAACUCAACAACAGCACAGACAAAUAUGGAUCGCAAACGCAUGGUAAACAAUUCGAACAAAAAAAAGCCUGUUAGGAAACGCCAGGUUACAGCUAAAAUAGCUGCAACAAAAUACGAAAUUGUUUCCUCCUCAGUUCAAGUGAUUCAGGUGGUCCAGUGGAAAGGAUCAAAUAAAUAAAAUCCUUUCAGAACAGCCUUGGACCACCAUGCCCUGCAGGCUGAGGGGUCAGCAGUGCACACCAGCCAGCUACACACAAGCAAGGUGGACACAAAGUGCUACUUGCAAAGAACAAUCACAGGGUUACCAAUGGACAGAGUGUGUGUGGUGUCCAACAAGAUUACCGUGAUACCAGCAGCAAAAUGUGAAGUUGUUAACUGCUGUUUUGAUCAUAAACUAAACCAGUGCUACAAGCCAAAGAAAUUAUAAUUUAUGUCUGUUUAACAAAUAGAUUCCAUACCAUGUUACUGUGCAUCUGUUCAAUAUUAGUAUAAAUCUACUAGCGUUCUAUUAGGAAUGCCGUUCUCCGAUUGGCUAUGCUAUUCGCUACUAUUCUCUUGCAGAUAUAGUGAGUAGCCUAGCAGUGUGCACUUGUUAACAAAAUAAUGGCUGCUUCUUUGUACUUUGGAAGUGUCUGAAAAGGAUUUAGAUGAAUGACUAGUAGAUUAUUACUAAGAGAAUCACGCAAUAGAAAUCCAGAGCUCAUAAUCUAAUUGUUAAAUAGAGCACAGUUGAGAUAAAAAUGUGGUAAGAACAAAAAGAAGCACACAAGCCAUUAAAUAAGUGCGUCACUGAUGUUCCCACCAUAUUUUGAGGUCUUCAGCAUGGAAUCUAGUUUUUGUUUCUAGUAUUAUUCAUUUUCAAUUCCCUAGAAAACUGAUUGGAAUCUUAUAAAACAAAUCAAAUUCAUGUAUUGUUGUUUCAUGCAACAUAUUUUAUCUUGACUUGAUGCUGGGGUUCUUGUAACCUCCUGCAGAGACAUUCUUUGGCUUGUCACACACUUCUCCUGUAAGGUAGUGUCACGCACUCCUGCCAUAAGGAAGGAGUAAGUGACAAGCCAAAUUUCAAUGUUAUUGCCUGUUACAAAACCCCCCUUAAUUCUAGUUUAAUUGUCAAAUUGUAAUCAGCUCAAGAUUCAACUUUUCACAAAGUAUAAAAAUUAAUAUUAUUAUUAUUGGAAGAAUUCCAAGCCACCUUAGAUUUUCAAAAAAUUAAAGUGGCUCUGAGCCCCCUCCCACAAACCUUACAAAACUUUGCAAAACUUUGUAUUUUGAUGUGCUGACUCAAUUCCAUAAUAAAAGGUGGCCACUGGA
This is a long non-coding RNA of Orbicella faveolata, 1698 nucleotides long. Lineage: Eukaryota; Metazoa; Cnidaria; Anthozoa; Scleractinia; Merulinidae. The record is from RefSeq and is a predicted model, not a curated record.